UGGGGAAUAUAGGACAAUGGGCGCAAGCCUGAUCCAGCCAUGCCGCGUGAGUGAUGAAGGCCCCAGGGUUGUAAAGCUCUUUCAUCGGUGAAGAUAAUGACGGCAGUGGGAGAAGAAGCUCCGGCUAACUUCGUGCCAGCAGCCGCGGUAAUACGAAGGGGGCUAGCGUUGUUCGGAAUUACUGGGCGUAAAGCGCACGCAGGCGGUUCGGUCAGUCAGAAGUGAAAGCCCCGGGCUUAACCUGGGAACUGCUUUUGAUACUGCCGAGCUUGAGUCACGGAGAGGGUAGUGGAAUUCCGAGUGUAGAGGUGAAGUUCGUAGAUAUUCGGAAGAACACCAGUGACGAAGACGACUACCUGGCAGUCGAUUGACGCUCAUGUGCGAAAACGUGGGGAGCAAACA
This 402-nucleotide ribosomal RNA is filed under the name uncultured bacterium. RNAcentral's name for it is "bacterial SSU rRNA". It matches the Rfam family "Bacterial small subunit ribosomal RNA", at positions 355 to 774 of the family's 1533-position model. The record is from RNAcentral.